Molecule: non-coding RNA, 24 nt
Filed under: Drosophila melanogaster (fruit fly)
Lineage: Eukaryota; Metazoa; Arthropoda; Insecta; Diptera; Drosophilidae
Source: RNAcentral
UGCGAAAGUAUAAGAUGUCCAGCG